Long non-coding RNA from Beta vulgaris subsp. vulgaris (sugar beet), 543 nucleotides. RefSeq lists it as uncharacterized. Lineage: Eukaryota; Viridiplantae; Streptophyta; Magnoliopsida; Caryophyllales; Amaranthaceae. The record is from RefSeq and is a predicted model, not a curated record. The transcript has 2 exons.
GAACGGUCAAUGAUCAUCACCAUGAUUAGUGAAAUCUGGAGUCAUUCCGACGGAAAGCAAGAGAAAUAUGCAGAUCAGGGAGUAAAAAAACGGUAGCAGACGCACAUCAACAACAUACUUCGAUUGAUUUUCGAUGGCUCCACUCAAGUUCAAGAAUCAAUUACUUCACAAACAAAGAGAAAGAAUCAGAACUUUCCCAAACAGAAGGCGAGAGAAUUCAAUGAAAAGAUAACUUCUCUUUCUUUGCCAUUAUUGUUGAUAUACAAUUUAGAACGUGAAAUUGUGUACAGUGACUUGAAUGCUGGUCUGCUAUGGUUGCUAUGGUUGAGAUCAAUGUAUGUUUACUUCAAAUGAAUAUACCUUUAUCAUUUUGGGGCUAGAUUAAUCAAUGAAUGUUAUAUAGGCAAGCACAUAUCAAUCACGCACAUAAAGUGUGUGAUAAUAUGCUUCAAUGAAAUCAGAACAUCAAGUUAGUGUUAUGCGUGCAUCAGUGACCCCCACUAUUCUAUUGAUUAAUGUGAUACAUUGACUUGAGUUCACCUA